AAAUUGAAGAGUUUGAUCAUGGCUCAGAUUGAACGCUGGCGGCAGGCCUAACACAUGCAAGUCGAACGGUAACAGGAAGCAGCUUGCUGCUUCGCUGACGAGUGGCGGACGGGUGAGUAAUGUCUGGGAAACUGCCUGAUGGAGGGGGAUAACUACUGGAAACGGUGGCUAAUACCGCAUAACGUCGCAAGACCAAAGAGGGGGACCUUCGGGCCUCUUGCCAUCAGAUGUGCCCAGAUGGGAUUAGCUUGUUGGUGAGGUAACGGCUCACCAAGGCGACGAUCCCUAGCUGGUCUGAGAGGAUGACCAGCCACACUGGAACUGAGACACGGUCCAGACUCCUACGGGAGGCAGCAGUGGGGAAUAUUGCACAAUGGGCGCAAGCCUGAUGCAGCCAUGCCGCGUGUAUGAAGAAGGCCUUCGGGUUGUAAAGUACUUUCAGCGGGGAGGAAGGUGUUGUGGUUAAUAACCGCAGCAAUUGACGUUACCCGCAGAAGAAGCACCGGCUAACUCCGUGCCAGCAGCCGCGGUAAUACGGAGGGUGCAAGCGUUAAUCGGAAUUACUGGGCGUAAAGCGCACGCAGGCGGUCUGUCAAGUCGGAUGUGAAAUCCCCGGGCUCAACCUGGGAACUGCAUUCGAAACUGGCAGGCUUGAGUCUUGUAGAGGGGGGUAGAAUUCCAGGUGUAGCGGUGAAAUGCGUAGAGAUCUGGAGGAAUACCGGUGGCGAAGGCGGCCCCCUGGACAAAGACUGACGCUCAGGUGCGAAAGCGUGGGGAGCAAACAGGAUUAGAUACCCUGGUAGUCCACGCCGUAAACGAUGUCUACUUGGAGGUUGUGCCCUUGAGGCGUGGCUUCCGGAGCUAACGCGUUAAGUAGACCGCCUGGGGAGUACGGCCGCAAGGUUAAAACUCAAAUGAAUUGACGGGGGCCCGCACAAGCGGUGGAGCAUGUGGUUUAAUUCGAUGCAACGCGAAGAACCUUACCUGGUCUUGACAUCCACGGAAGUUUUCAGAGAUGAGAAUGUGCCUUCGGGAACCGUGAGACAGGUGCUGCAUGGCUGUCGUCAGCUCGUGUUGUGAAAUGUUGGGUUAAGUCCCGCAACGAGCGCAACCCUUAUCCUUUGUUGCCAGCGGUCCGGCCGGGAACUCAAAGGAGACUGCCAGUGAUAAACUGGAGGAAGGUGGGGAUGACGUCAAGUCAUCAUGGCCCUUACGACCAGGGCUACACACGUGCUACAAUGGCGCAUACAAAGAGAAGCGACCUCGCGAGAGCAAGCGGACCUCAUAAAGUGCGUCGUAGUCCGGAUUGGAGUCUGCAACUCGACUCCAUGAAGUCGGAAUCGCUAGUAAUCGUGGAUCAGAAUGCCACGGUGAAUACGUUCCCGGGCCUUGUACACACCGCCCGUCACACCAUGGGAGUGGGUUGCAAAAGAAGUAGGUAGCUUAACCUUCGGGAGGGCGCUUACCACUUUGUGAUUCAUGACUGGGGUGAAGUCGUAACAAGGUAACCGUAGGGGAACCUGCGGUUGGAUCACCUCCUUA
Molecule: ribosomal RNA, 1542 nt
Filed under: Salmonella enterica
Lineage: Bacteria; Pseudomonadati; Pseudomonadota; Gammaproteobacteria; Enterobacterales; Enterobacteriaceae
Also listed under: 13 other names
Description: bacterial SSU rRNA
Rfam family: Bacterial small subunit ribosomal RNA
Source: RNAcentral